Molecule: ribosomal RNA, 355 nt
Filed under: uncultured Leptolinea sp.
Lineage: Bacteria; Bacillati; Chloroflexota; Anaerolineae; Anaerolineales; Anaerolineaceae
Description: bacterial SSU rRNA
Rfam family: Bacterial small subunit ribosomal RNA
Source: RNAcentral
ACCGACCCUUCGGGAGCUUGCACAGGUGCUGCAUGGCUGUCGUCAGCUCGUGUCGUGAGAUGUUCGGUUAAGUCCGCUAACGAGCGCAACCCUCGCUGUGUGUUAUAUGUGUCACACGGGACUGCCGGUCUUAAGCCGGAGGAAGGUGGGGAUGAUGUCAAGUCAGCAUGGCCUUUAUAUCCUGGGCUACACACACGCUACAAUGGCCAACACAAUAGGUUGCUAAGCCGCGAGGUGGCGCCAAUCCAUAAAGUUGGUCUCAGUUCAGAUUGUAGGCUGCAACCCGCCUGCAUGAAGAUGGAGUUGCUAGUAACCGCAGGUCAGCUAUACUGCGGUGAAUACGUUCCCGGGGCUU